This 1298-nucleotide long non-coding RNA is filed under the name Struthio camelus australis. RNAcentral describes it as "lncRNA (ENSSCUG00000013733.1)". The record is from RNAcentral. Lineage: Eukaryota; Metazoa; Chordata; Aves; Struthioniformes; Struthionidae.
GAGGGCGCCGCCGAGGAGCGAGUGGCCGCGGGCAGCGCUGGCAGCGCCGGUCGUUCGCUGCCUAAGGCGUUUCACGGAGCAGGUGCGGUCUAACGCCUUGAGAACGCACAGAGAGGCGAUCGCACUGGAGCAGCACAGUGACGUUCCCCAGUCCAGCAUCUUUUUCUUUAUAUUGAGCCAGGAAUCAUUCAGCGAGGACUCCGCGUGUAGAAAUGCAGCACCAGAUGAAUAUACAACAAGCACUGUUGUAAUGAAAUACAUGUUAAUAAAUUAUUCUAUUUGUGUAAAAAGAGAUUGAUGUUUCUGUAUAUCCAGAUGGGAUCCCACUUACGCGUUGGCAGAGGGGAAAUGACUUUUUGGAAUAGCCCUCCAUCCACUGAUAUGUGUGAAAUACAUAAAAAUGGACAGAUGGGAUAAAUCUUUGUAUCCACUUUCAGGUUUUUCCCUUACUUUCAUAAACUGUCUAGAUUUUCGAUAUGAAAUUUAGAGCAAGAUUAUGUUUAGGAUUCUUUUAAUGUUGAGAAUAGCUGAAUUAGGAAACAGAUGGUUUAGGAGUUGCUCCCAAAGCAUAGCGAUGUUGCUAUACUGGCCAUGAGAACAAAGUCUUAGAGCUGAAUCAAGCUUCAAGCCUCUAACAAGGUAGGUAAAAGCUUUAAAAAUGGUCUGAGAGAGUUGUGCCAGAAGCUGCUCUGUUUGUUCUGAAUCCCUUGGAUGAAACCAGCAGACAUCCCUGAUACCAUCUCCCAAGGUUGAGUUUUGUCCAACUGGUAGAUAAAGAGAAGGGGGUGGGGGGAAGCACCUGAGCUAGAAGGCAAAUGCUAUAGCAGAACAUGCAAGAGUUAAGCCAAAAUAAGAGUAAUGACGUGUUUUGCAUUUAGCUCUGCAGAUGUCUGUGGGAGUGUUGUGUCAGCAGCACCAUAAACGUGCGUAAGAGGUGUAAGGGAAGCACGUGUUGCAUUGUUUGCCCAGUGACGGCACUCCUGGGUUCUCUGAGCAGGCUGUUAACACGCUUAUCAGUGUCAUUAGUUUAAAGGUGCAAUUGCUUUUGCAUCUUGGGAAAAUUGGGGUUUAAUCCAACAUUGGGUGUGUCAUUAAGUGGUAUAGUGAAGGAAGUAGUAAGUCAAAGUGGUAGACCAGGCAAAGAGGUAACUUCUGUCAUCAGUUUCAGUGACUUCAUCUCAGAGUUUUAAUAAGUAAGGGAAAGCGGAUUCACAGAGCUUUAUCCUAAGUAAUAGGAUGAGGAAAAAAUACUUUCUGAUACAGGAUGGGAAGGAGCUAUAGUUUAAUACUGAGAAUUA